This 563-nucleotide ribosomal RNA is filed under the name uncultured bacterium. Its description in RNAcentral is "bacterial SSU rRNA". It matches the Rfam family "Bacterial small subunit ribosomal RNA", at positions 95 to 651 of the family's 1533-position model. The record is from RNAcentral.
GCGGCGAACUGGUGAGUAACAGGUGGAUAAUGUGCCCUGAAGUGGGGGAUAACACCGGGAAACCGGUGCUAAUACCGCAUGUGAUCUUAGGGUCUGCGGACCUUAAGGUUAAAGCAGCAGUGCGCUUCAGGAUCGGUCCGCCCCCGAUUAGCUAGUUGGUGAGGUCAAGGCUCACCAAGGCUCCGAUCGGUAGCUGGUCUGAGAGGAUGGUCAGCCACACUGGAACUGAGAUACGGUCCAGACUCCUACGGGGGGCAGCAGUCUAGAGGCUUCGGCAAUGGGGGCAACCCUGACCGAGCGACGCCGCGUGUGGGAUUGAAGGCCUUCGGGUCGUAAACCACUGUCAUUGGGGAAGAAUGCCUGGAUGGCGAAUCCAGGAGGGACGGUACCCAAGGAGGAAGCCCCGGCUAACUCCGUGCCAGCAGCCGCGGUAAUACGGAGGGGGCAAGCGUUGUUCGGAUUUACUGGGCGUAAAGGGUGUGUAGGCGGCCGGGCAAGUCUGGUGUGAAAUCUUCACCGCUUAACGGGAAGAGGUCACUGGAAACUGCCUGGCUCGAGUAUGG